UUUUUUGGGAAGAUUUCCUAUGCACCUAUUAGUUUUGAUAAGUGCUCUCAGGAUACAAAAGAGUUGUGCCCCAAAGGAGUCAUCAUCAUUUCAUUCCUGAAUUUCUACCAAUAGGCAAACUUGACUCCGCAGUGGCUCUUAGGCUGAGCCAUUGUCUUAGGAAGAAAUAUCCCUAAAGAAAGGAUAAACGACUUAGUAUUAUUUAGCCUGAAGAAUAGAACACUAGAGAGGGAAAAAAAUCUUGUGCAGCAUCCAUUUCAAAAAUAUGAAGAUUAUUACUUGAGAGAUAGUUACCAUAUGUUCUUCAUGUCCCCUGAGGAUAAACAAAAGAAAGUCAGAAAAAGAUACAGCUAAAAUGGGAGCAAUGGGGAUUUUGGAUAAUGAUUUUAAAAAGAACUCCUGGGUAACAAGUACCACUGAGUAUCAGAACAGGUUAGCAAGUGACAGUGUGAAAUCUUUUUUCUCUAGGAGUGUUAGUUGUGUGUACAUUGUUUUCCAAUUUGUUUCACCACCUGUUUUUCAAUUUGUAUUAAUGAAGAAGAACAAGUAAAAGGUAACCCAUUCCUUCCCAGGGAUGUUAUUCUAGAAGCAAACAAAUGAGCACCACAAAAACCUUUAUGCCACCUUCUGCUUUUCAUCCCAGGUGAUCCACGUUGUCAUCCCCUUCAGUCUCUUGACAACCCAGCUGGUCUUGGAGUUCCAGAUCCUCCUGGUUCUGAAAAGCUCCUUAUUCUGUCCACUGACUGGAUUCUCUUAUUCUUUGCUCCUCUUUCAAUCGUUCCUCACUCUUCUGCUGUACCGGCAUCAUGGAAAUACCAAAUCCUUGGAACACACAUUUUGUGGAAAAUAGGAUCCAUUUUCAUGGAUUCGCCCAUCAUCCUUAGGUGACUAACUCAUAAAUCCACAGGUUAGCUUCAUACUGUCUCCCAAACUCCAGUUGAGGAAUUCCUUACUAAUUAGUGGGUAUUCUUGCUUGGCUCUUUCACAGUCAUCAAAACCUCAAAAUCACCACCUUCACAAAGCCACCUCCUUUCCCUGAUUUUUUAACUAUUUUUCAUUGAUGAAAUUCACUUUACAUACCAACCUUCAAUGUGUAUCCCAUUUUACCCUCCUCUGGUCUAGGCACCUUGCACUUCUACUAUCCUACCCUAGUCAGUGAUAUGGCCUCUCAAUUCCUCUUCUAUUAUAUUCCUCACGUCUUUCUUUCCCGUAGUUACUAUAAAUGAUUCUCAAACACAUACUUAUAAGACUGCAAACUCUUUACUAUGGCAUUCGGGGCCUUUCACGUGCUUCUUCAGGUUACUGUCCCAGAGUAUCCACCAUUUAAAAUCCUUUGUUGUAAGCCAAACUUAUCCAGAGCUGCCUCUGAUCCUUUGCUCAAACUCAGCCCCAGCCAUGGUUUGUCUGUAUGAACCUUAUACUGUGUUGUCCAAAAUCCAGCUCAAGGCCCACUCUCCUUGGACCACCCCAGGGAACAGUAUUUCCCUCCUCAUUCACACUUUUACCUAUAACAGUUAAUUUGUUCUUACCACAUUACUUUAAACUGUUAAUAAUUUUUUCUCAUGUAUCUUUUUCAAUACCUAACUUUUUCAACUUUCAAUAGAUUGCAAACAAUUUGAAAAUAUGACUUCCUAUACAUCUUUAUAUCCUCUCCCUUAAGAAACACAUGUUAACGAAUAUUGAUUUAAUUGACUUUGGUCGUCUUUUUCCAUGUCUUCAGAAGAAUCAUAAACAAAGCCCUACACCUUUAAUUUUGUCCUUCUCAUUAGAGUAGCAGCUAUUAAUCAAUCAUUUCAUUCUAAGGCCUAUUUAACCCCUGAACAAUGGUUAAAUAUAAAAAAAAAAAAUGGAAGGAGAAAGAGGAAGAGAAUAAAGUUAAAGAGAAAAGAAGAAAGAACUAGAAAGGAAGGAAGGAAGAUGAAGAAAGACAAAAAUAAGAAGAGAAGCAAGCCCCAUGGUUCUGCCUUCUCCAAGUCUGACAACUCAGAAAUUACUUGUGAUCCUUCCCACAGUUCAAUCCCCAUUUUGGAGAAUCAGUCAGCAAGACUAUAGCUCACAUCUGUUAUUCUCAGGAGACUAUUCCUCAGUUUCAAGGUUUACAAGUAAAACAACUAAUGACUUCACUUCUCCUAUCAUGAAGCAAGUCCCUGGCCCAUUCAAUGGAUCUAUUUGAAUGGACUUACUGCCAGUCCACUUGCGAGGCAGUAUGGGAUUAAAUGCACACCAUUGACACUGGCUAAAAGAGAAAUAAAAAAUACCUGAAUUUCCUUCUGUUAAUUUUAGGAAUAUUGCCUCUUUGGCUACCUUAAUGUUUUUCUACCAUGAUGAUUUUUUUUCCCCUUUAGCAUUAAGUAAAGAGUAAUGCAUAUCCUUCUGCUGUGGCACUGUUGUUUAGUGAAGCAAAGUAUAUCAUUCUCUCUAAAUCCAUCAAAUCCAAAUACUAAAAAUGAAUUCCUCCUGGUGGCAUAAACAAACUGGUCUUUAAUACACAGAAUAUCAUAACAGAUUGUCCUUGGCUGUUCACUAUACUGUAUGUUCUGACACUUGUUGGUGUAUUUACAGUGCUUCUGCUAAAAAAAGAAUUGAUCAAGGGAAAACAGCCAAGUUCAGAAUGUUUCAAAUCUACAUUACAUACUGUCAAAAUAACUUUUAAAUAUAUGUGAAAGUGAAUAUUUGCAAUUCAAAACAAGAACACAUAAGGGGGAAAUAGAAAACACUUCCAUUUCAUAUAACUCAUAAUAGAAAGAAGUUAUUUGGAUCAUCCAUUUUCUACCAGACCCAUGGAGAAAUGGAUGGCAGUGUAAGCACACUCCCCUCCCAGAAAUUGCCCUUAUCAUGGUAAAUAAAAAUCUCCAGAGAGAAAGAGAUAAAGACUAAGUAUGAACCACUGAACAGGAGAUAAUACAGAGAAUGAUGACAGAUGGCUUUCUGAUAGUAUAACCGUAAUUUUGAAAUGCUGAUGGAAACUCUAGCAUCAGAAAAUGAGUGCUUAUUAAGCACCUACUAUGUAACUGGCCCUGUCUCUGGUUCUUGGUAAACACAGAAGAGAUGCAAGAUUCGAUGCCUCUGCCAAAAGCAAGUAAUCUAGUUGUGGGAUAGAAAAGCGAUGCCGAAAAAAUUGGGGAGAAGACUACAAGUCAAUGUGAUUAAAUGCAAACCUUUGGCAUUGGCUAAAAGAGAAAUAACAAAAAUUCAGAGAAGGGAGAGAGAGCUGUUCAAUGGAAAAGUCUAUGUGGCUUCAUAAAGGAGUUUAGGGAGGAAAGUGGGAUUGAGACAGGGGCUUCAGGAAUGAAUACAUCUUGAUUUAGUGGUCAGAAGAGGUGAGAGAUUUUCUAUGGGACUCCCUGAGAAAAAGCAUGGAGACAGGAUUGAUAAAUGAGGAGCAAUUGAGGAGGCUGCCCCAGGUGGUAAAGAGGCUGUUUAUUGUGAAGUGGAGAAAAAUCAGUGUUGAUAAGCCAAUUUUGGAUGGUCUUACAGAUAGGACCUUGAAAGAUGGCAUCACAUGUGGUUCAGACCACCAACAGAAGGCCUGGUUUGGAUCUCUGACUGCGGAGCCAGCAAUAACAAAAGGAAUGAACAAUAAAGAUUUAUCUAAGCAUUCUUCGGGAUUUCAUGGGGUGGGGGGCAAGGAAAAAAACAGAAAUUGCAAAUGUAGCAAGGAAAUAGAAAACGAAAAAGGAAGGCUCUGAACAAACUAUCCAAAGGUCUUCCCAUCAAGAAUUAGGUUCAUGACAAUGUGAGAAAAAAGAAUGUAUACAUGUAUGUGUGUAACUGGGUCAUCAUGCUGUACAGUAGAAAAAAAACCCAAUGUAUUGGGGAAAUGAAAAAAGUUAAGAAAAAAAGAAUUGGGUUCAAAUGACUACACUGGUUGAUUACUAAGACUCUGGUUUCGUGUAAACAACAACUGAGUAUAAUUCCCUCAUGACAUUUGCUCUCUACUCAUAGCAAAAUUAAAGAAUUCAAAUACUCCGUGCAACUCAUCAGGCACAUGGCUAUUUAUUUAUAUUUAUUUAUUUAUUUAUCUAUUUAUUUUUUAUCUUUUGCCCAUUCUUUUACUUUCCAAAUGGUUCCAGCAAGCUUAGGUAGCCUCCUUGCCUACCACAAUCACACCUUCUGACUAGAAAGUUCCUUCCUCAGGAAUUUAGAUUGGGACCUGAAGAUGUCAAUUUGGCUGUUCUCUUAAAUGGGCAUGAGAUACUCCUGAAUGAGAAUGGCCAUACAGUCAGUUGGUCCAGGCAGCAGCAAAGACUAACGUGCAAAAACAGCGAUGAAUAUAUCCAAUCCAGGCAGCUGGACAGAGAAAGAGGAUGAGAGACGUGUAGUUAAUGCUGACCCACCCCAGCAAGCAAAGCCCACAUCGCUGACCCCCAUCUGACCUUCAGGCACAUGAACAAGCCCAGCUGAGAUUAGCAAAGUUACUCAACAACCCACAGCUCCAUGAAAAAUAAAUGUCUACUCUCUUGUGCUGCUGAAAUUUUGUGGUUGGUUAUUAUGCAGCAUAUUGUAUAAAGAGCUAAUUGAACUAAUAACAUUCCUGACCUAGUUUGAGUUUCACCAUAUACUUCUGUAUUUUUUCUUUCUUUUUUUUUUUUCCACCAUGCUGGCAUGCUUUCAUGUGGCUUCAUGGCAAUGCAACAUCUUAAUCUAAAAGCAGGAGUCUCUAAAAGGAGAAUUCCUAGCCCUGCAAUAGGUGGGAAAGUUUCCUCCCCAAUCUCCUUAGUUAACUAAGAGUACAGACUGGGUCCUACAGUAUUCAGAGACAUAAACCAACCAUACAAUGAAUGAGACAUCUGUCAAUUUUUUACAGAGCGUGAUUGCUUUUGUUCCUGUGGACAUCUGGGAAAAACAAAUUGCAGAAAUCGUCAGAAGGUGAGUAUGCCUGCAGGUGUGCUUGUGGGUUGGUGGGUGAAAGGUGGCCUGAGUAUCAAAACCUUGGGAAAGGCUCAAGACUCAUCACUUUCUAGCACUUUUGCAAAGCCAUCCCCAGGUUUCUCACAGGGCUAAAACCUAGGUCAUUGGAAGAAGAGCAAUGCAGGGAUGAGAACAUUUUCUUCUUUGUUUCUGCUAUUCCCAAAGGCCUGCUGACAUGGAGAGAUCGAUGGUGGCCAGUGACAAGGAUCAGGAAGUCUAGCCCUUGAUGCCUGGAUUCCAGCAGUCACAUUUGUCAUUCCCAGUGCUUUCCCCUCAGUGGGAACUCUACGUCAUGGGGCCUAAGCUUGAGCGCUCCAAGGACAGGGAAUGGGGGUGCACAGCAGAAGAGACAUCAUUCUUCAUCACUCAGGCAGGAAAGGGAAGGAUAAGGAGGGAAAAGGAGCCAUCCAUGACUGAGCCUUGAUUAAUUACCAGUCUUGACAGUGACAGGAAUGUGAAAAACAGAGCAGAAAGGUUAAAAAAAAUUAAAGCAACUUUGUAGCCUCCUACACAGAAAAUAACUGUAUCUUAAAUUAGAAGAGUCAGUUAAUCACAUCAGAUGUCUUAUAGGCAGAAUCUGAGAAUUCAGAAACUAUAAAUAAACAAAUAAUGCUCAGGGUUUGUAUUUUCUGGAGGGCUCAGCACAUCUAGGAGAACAGAAGGUACGGGAAAGCUAUCUCUGAAAAGCAGCAACAUUUCAUUUGUAUCCUGUGUGCCUUGUAUCUGUUUUGUUGACAUUUGUUGACAAAAAGCAACUAUAGCCAAUAUACAGAGACACUUGGAUCUCGCAGAUCUUACUGCCUAACUCUUACUGCCUCUUACUGCCUCACUCUUGGAAGUGAGCCUCCACAACCCCUGGUUUCUUUUGUGGGAGUUCUCUAAAAGAUCUGUGUUCUUUACUUUCUUCCACAGCAUUGGCGGGCCUCCAAACCACCCAGAAAAAUGCCCUCCAGCUACCUUCUGGUGUGCUAGAAAUUCCCAGCAGAAUUGUUCCUUUAGGUUAGAGAAUCCCAUUCCUGGGAGGCCUCCGUGCAAUGACAAAUGUGUUCAUUUGGAAGUUCCCGAAACAAACUGUCAGCUUCUUGAUGUAGCCCAAGGCUAGGAAGUUCCUAGUUCUUUCUGGGAACAGAGGGAAGGUAAAGAUGGUUCUGUGUUGUUGUGGUUGUUGUUUUUAAUUUUUUUUUUUUGCUUGUUUUAUGUCAAAGGAAAUUAAUGCAUGCCAUCAGGUGGAAAAAUCUGAGCAACCACUGGAAACAGGGCAAGGUGAAGGUUAGAGGAAUUCAGAGAAAAUGCAAUAUCAGGGGCCGAGGCAAAUGGAAAUUCUGAUUAUCCAAGGCUCC
RNAcentral lists this long non-coding RNA (6251 nucleotides) under Sus scrofa (pig). Its description in RNAcentral is "lncRNA (ENSSSCG00015071653.1)". The record is from RNAcentral. Lineage: Eukaryota; Metazoa; Chordata; Mammalia; Artiodactyla; Suidae.